UGGGGAAUAUUGCACAAUGGGCGCAAGCCUGAUGCAGCCAUGCCGCGUGUAUGAAGAAGGCCUUCGGGUUGUAAAGUACUUUCAGCGCGGAGGAAGGCGUUGUGGUUAAUAACCGCAACGAUUGACGUUACUCGCAGAAGAAGCACCGGCUAACUCCGUGCCAGCAGCCGCGGUAAUACGGAGGGUGCAAGCGUUAAUCGGAAUUACUGGGCGUAAAGCGCACGCAGGCGGUCUGUCAAGUCGGAUGUGAAAUCCCCGGGCUCAACCUGGGAACUGCAUCCGAAACUGGCAGGCUAGAGUCUUGUAGAGGGGGGUAGAAUUCCAGGUGUAGCGGUGAAAUGCGUAGAGAUCUGGAGGAAUACCGGUGGCGAAGGCGGCCCCCUGGACAAAGACUGACGCUCAGGUGCGAAAGCGUGGGGAGCAAACA
This 427-nucleotide ribosomal RNA is filed under the name uncultured bacterium. Its description in RNAcentral is "partial 16S ribosomal RNA". It matches the Rfam family "Bacterial small subunit ribosomal RNA", at positions 355 to 774 of the family's 1533-position model. The record is from RNAcentral.